GCCGGAGUGGCGAAAUGGCAGACGCUGGGGUCUUAAAAACCCUUGGGGGCAACUCCGUGCGGGUUCGAGUCCCGCCUCCGGCA
RNAcentral lists this transfer RNA (83 nucleotides) under Kouleothrix aurantiaca. It matches the Rfam family "tRNA". From Rfam's summary of the family: Transfer RNA (tRNA) molecules are approximately 80 nucleotides in length. The record is from Rfam by way of RNAcentral. Lineage: Bacteria; Bacillati; Chloroflexota; Chloroflexia; Chloroflexales; Roseiflexaceae.